CUAAAAGAUAAAGUCUCUGUUUUUGGUACAUCUAUACGGACGAAUAAUUUUGUAGAGAGUUUUCAUUACAAUUGGCUUUAUCACCAAUCAAGAAAUAAAUAUUGCAAAACUAGCAGAAGGACUAAAUAUUCAUUAAAAAAAUUUCUUUUUGCGCUCAGCAAUACAACACAAUUAAUCAAAGAGAAUUUUGGUUUGUUUUAAAAUCUUAAUUUUUUAAAUAUAUAUUAAUAUUUUGUGGCGAUUACAUCGUCACAUACAUCCCGAAAAUUAACGAUCAAAAACACUUAUACAAAUAUGGCCACACAUAGGCGAAAAAGUACCGAGACACAGGUAAAUAUAAAUAAAAACAUAACAGACGAGACAGAGAGAGACGAAAGACGAGAAGCACAGAGACAAAUAUCGAAACGUUAAGAGACAAAGGAAAUAAACAAACAUAAAAUUCUCGAAGCCUCUCAAAGCUUCUCGAAGGUCGAUUUUUGAGGCAAAAGAUAUCAAGAGCGAUUUUGCGUUCAAAAGAUUUGGUUAUCGCGGACGAUCACCGCGUAAGGACGUACAUUGUAAAUACGAACGAUUAUAUUUUGCAUCUAUCUCCGAAAUUAUGUACAACCUCUUAUAAAGACUUUUCGUUACUUGUAAAUAUACUCUACAGUUACAUGUA
Molecule: non-coding RNA, 658 nt
Organism: Nylanderia fulva
Lineage: Eukaryota; Metazoa; Arthropoda; Insecta; Hymenoptera; Formicidae
Source: RefSeq, a predicted model, not a curated record